This 117-nucleotide ribosomal RNA is filed under the name Neogale vison (American mink). Lineage: Eukaryota; Metazoa; Chordata; Mammalia; Carnivora; Mustelidae. The record is from RNAcentral.
GUCUACGGCCAUACCACCCUGAACGCGCCCGAUCUCGUCUGAUCUCGGAAGCUAAGCAGGGUCGGGCCUGGUUAGUACUUGGAUGGGAAAAAAAGAAACAUCAUGAAAUAGUUGACC